Long non-coding RNA from Spea bombifrons (plains spadefoot toad), 301 nucleotides. RefSeq lists it as uncharacterized. The transcript is spliced from 3 exons. The record is from RefSeq and is a predicted model, not a curated record. NCBI's taxonomy places the organism in Eukaryota, Metazoa, Chordata, Amphibia, Anura, Pelobatidae.
GACCCACAACAUAUUACUGAGUAUGUCAAGGCCAUCACCUCUGCUUCAAAAGAGGCCAAUAUACCUGUAGAUAAUUUAGCAACAAUGAAUGCGAUCUUAUUGGACGUCACUCUUGAGAAACUCAGUUCCACAUUUGGUUCUUAUCAAACGCAAAAUUGGACAAAUUUGUUUCAAUAUGAAUUGGUGGUCUUGAUUCCAUACUUCCAAACAGCUCAUCUUAAACUUCUACCCAUUGACAUCAGCUGUUCCUCAUACCAGGCAAUCGUCAAAGGAUUUAGUUUGGUUUACAAAUCACUUUCAG